GAAGUUAGUCGGGCAAUCGCUGCAUGGUUUUUAAAUCUGUAGAGGAAAGUCCGGGCUCCAAAGAGCGGGGUGCCGGUUAACAGCCGGACGUUGUGAAGCGAUGGACAGUGCAACAGAAAGUGUACCGCCUCGAGCCUCUGGUUUGGGGUAAGGGUGAAAAGGUGAGGU
This 168-nucleotide RNase P RNA is filed under the name Betaproteobacteria bacterium. Its description in RNAcentral is "partial RNase P RNA component class A". It matches the Rfam family "Bacterial RNase P class A", at positions 1 to 168 of the family's 367-position model. Rfam says of the family: Ribonuclease P (RNase P) is a ubiquitous endoribonuclease, found in archaea, bacteria and eukarya as well as chloroplasts and mitochondria. Its best characterised activity is the generation of mature 5'-ends of tRNAs by cleaving the 5'-leader elements of precursor-tRNAs. Lineage: Bacteria; Pseudomonadati; Pseudomonadota; Betaproteobacteria. The record is from RNAcentral.